RNAcentral lists this ribosomal RNA (252 nucleotides) under uncultured bacterium. RNAcentral describes it as "partial 16S ribosomal RNA". It matches the Rfam family "Bacterial small subunit ribosomal RNA", at positions 524 to 776 of the family's 1533-position model. The record is from RNAcentral.
UACGUAGGGUGCGAGCGUUGUCCGGAAUUAUUGGGCGUAAAGCGCACGUAGGCGCUUUGUAAGUUGGAUGUGAAAGCCCUCGGCUCAACCAAGGAAGUGCAUCCAAAACUACAAAGCUUGAGUACUUAAGAGGAUCGCGGAAUUCCCGGUGUAGAGGUGAAAUUCGUAGAUAUCGGGAGGAACACCAGUGGCGAAAGCACUCUGCUGGGCCGACACUGACACUGAGAGACGAAAGCUAGGGGAGCGAAUGGG